GACGAACGCUGGCGGCGUGCCUAAUACAUGCAAGUCGAACGAACCGCGACCGAGUGCUUGCACUUGGUCAAGGUGAGUGGCGAACGGGUGAGUAACACGUGGGUAACCUACCUCAUAGUGGGGGAUAACAGUCGGAAACGACUGCUAAUACCGCAUAGGACAUAGGAUCACAUGAUCCAGUGAGGAAAGGUGGCGCAAGCUAUCGCUAAGAGAUGGACCCGCGGUGCAUUAGCUAGUUGGUAGGGUAAAGGCCUACCAAGGCGAUGAUGCAUAGCCGACCUGAGAGGGUGAUCGGCCACAUUGGGACUGAGACACGGCCCAAACUCCUACGGGAGGCAGCAGUAGGGAAUCUUCCGCAAUGGACGCAAGUCUGACGGAGCAACGCCGCGUGAGUGAAGAAGGUCUUCGGAUCGUAAAGCUCUGUUGUUAGAGAAGAACAGCGCAUAGAGUAAACUGUUAUGCGUGUGAACGGAU
RNAcentral lists this ribosomal RNA (474 nucleotides) under Abiotrophia defectiva. RNAcentral's name for it is "bacterial SSU rRNA". It matches the Rfam family "Bacterial small subunit ribosomal RNA", at positions 28 to 478 of the family's 1533-position model. Lineage: Bacteria; Bacillati; Bacillota; Bacilli; Lactobacillales; Aerococcaceae. The record is from RNAcentral.